This 422-nucleotide ribosomal RNA is filed under the name uncultured bacterium. Its description in RNAcentral is "partial 16S ribosomal RNA". It matches the Rfam family "Bacterial small subunit ribosomal RNA", at positions 360 to 774 of the family's 1533-position model. The record is from RNAcentral.
AAUUUUGGACAAUGGGGGAAACCCUGAUCCAGCCAUCCCGCGUGUAUGAUGAAGGCCUUCGGGUUGUAAAGUACUUUUGGCAGAGAAGAAAAGGUAUCUCCUAAUACGAGAUACUGCUGACGGUAUCUGCAGAAUAAGCACCGGCUAACUACGUGCCAGCAGCCGCGGUAAUACGUAGGGUGCAAGCGUUAAUCGGAAUUACUGGGCGGAAAGCAUGUGUAGGCGGUUCGGAAAGAAAGAUAGAGAAGCCAAGGGCUCAACCUUGGAACGGAAUUUUUAACUGACGAGCUAGAGUAUGUCAGAGGGGGGUAGAAUUCAACGUGUAGCAGUGAAAUGCGUAGAUAUGUGGAGGAAUGCCGAUGGCGAAGGCAGCCCCCUGGGAUAAUACUGACGCUCAGACACGAAAGCGUGGGGAGCAAACA